UACGGAGGAUCAAGCGUUAUCCGGAAUCGAUUGGGUUUAAAGGGUCCGUAGGCGGUUUAAUUAAGUCAGUGGUGAAAGCCCAUCGCUCAAGCGGUGGAACGGCCAUUGAUACUGUUAAACUUGAAUUAUUAGGAAGUAACUAGAAUAUGUAGUGUAGCGGUGAAAUGCUUAGAGAUUACAUGGAAUACCAAUUGCGAAGGCAGGUUACUACUAAUGGAUUGACGCUGAUGGACGAAAGCGUGGGUAGCGAACGGG
Molecule: ribosomal RNA, 255 nt
Filed under: uncultured bacterium
Lineage: Bacteria
Description: partial 16S ribosomal RNA
Rfam family: Bacterial small subunit ribosomal RNA
Source: RNAcentral